GAUUUAUGAUUAUGUGUAUGUUGUAAUGUUUGAUUAUGUAGUCCAAGUGGGAGAUUGUUGGAAUUUUUAUGUGUGGACUUACAUAAUCAAUUUAAUAAUGUCAUAAAUCAGUGUUAUUUAUUUUUGCAUUGUGGUCCAUAAUGGGACUGGACACAUAUUGUUGCUUGAUUUUUUAUGGGCUCACCCUAAUUCACUUGACUGGCCCAUUAAGUCAAGUGGUGGUCCAAAUAAUGUGUGUGAUAUAUAUAUGAAUAUAUUUAUUUAUUUAUAUAUAUAUAUAAAAGAAAAGGAAGGGCUCUCUCU
Molecule: long non-coding RNA, 303 nt
Filed under: Vitis vinifera (wine grape)
Lineage: Eukaryota; Viridiplantae; Streptophyta; Magnoliopsida; Vitales; Vitaceae
Description: long non-coding RNA (VVIN_LNC008177)
Source: RNAcentral